This 373-nucleotide ribosomal RNA is filed under the name uncultured bacterium. RNAcentral describes it as "bacterial SSU rRNA". It matches the Rfam family "Bacterial small subunit ribosomal RNA", at positions 527 to 898 of the family's 1533-position model. The record is from RNAcentral.
GUAGGGAGCAAGCGUUGUCCGGAAUCAUUGGGCGUAAAGCGCGCGUAGGCGGCCCCGUAAGUCCGCUGUGAAAGUCAAAGGCUCAACCUUUGAAAGCCGGUGGAUACUGUGGGGCUAGAGUCCGGAAGAGGCGAGUGGAAUUCCUGGUGUAGCGGUGGAAUGCGCAGAUAUCAGGAGGAACACCGAUAGCGAAGGCAGCUCGCUGGGACGGUACUGACGCUAAGGCGCGAAAGCGUGGGGAGCGAACAGGAUUAGAUACCCUGGUAGUCCACGCCGUAAACGAUGGGCACUAGGUGUGGGAGGUGUCGACUCCUCCCGUGCCGUCGCUAACGCACUAAGUGCCCCGCCUGGGGAGUACGGCCGCAAGGCUAAA